AUUUCCAGUGGCUGGGAAGAAAACAAUAGCCUGGCUACUGAGCUGUCUCUCCAGGUGAGCAGUGGCUGGAACAGGACUUAUUCUUGUGGGCGAAGGUGGCUGUGAUUUAAGAACACUGGAAAAGAAACAGCCUCAUUUCAGAAAAAUGUCUGUGCUGAACUCAAGUGACUCGAGAUGGGGAAAUGGCAGCUGGCAUACAUCAUGGUGGCCAGACGCCUCUUCAGGGCUACACAGACCUGGGCCAGCUGGCGGUCCCAGAAGCUCCCGGUCCCUGCCAAGCCUGGAAGACACCUCAUACAGGAUUAAAAUCCUGCCACACACNAAAAAAAAAAAAAAAAAAAAAAAAAGAUUUUAUUUUUUUAAAGUAAUCUCUACACCUAAUAUGGGGCCUGAAUUUACAACCCAGAGAUUAAGAGUCACAGGCUCCACUGACUGAGCCAGCCAGGUACCCCAAGAAUUUUUCUUUUAUUUAACAAAUACUUCUAUAGUUCUUACUAUGUACCAGGUACACUUUUAAAAUCUAUUUAAAUCAUUUUAAUGACAUAAUUAAAUAACAUCCUAAUGACAAUUUAUAGAUGAGAACACUGAAUCACUAUAGUUAAAUGACUUGUCCAAGGGAACAAUGAGGUUCAUGUGGCGGUGAGUCCAUGGCCUGAACCAGUUCAAUAAGCUACCUAACCAUCUGGCCUGGGCUACAGCCCUAGGUAGGGGGGUCUCAGGUGAAGCUGGGCCAGCAAGGUAAGCCUCAUGAUGUAGGGUUCUGUGAGGCUGUGUGCAUAGGAGUUCCAUGCACUGUAUGAGGGCUGCAGAGCAGGAGAAAUUUGGCUGGCGUGAUCUGAUUGUUGAUUUAGAAAGAUCUUCUUCAUGACUGAAUGUAGGAUGCAUUACAAGGGGCUGAGGUCUGAGAGAGAGAGAGAAAGUCUGAUGCAGUAGAUAGUCCAGAGGAGCAAGAUUGCUGGCAUGAAUAAGGGCAGUGACAGUGGUGGCGGAGAAGAGGGAUAUGGAUUUGAAGAAUUUUUGCUUCUCCCUCUACCUAUGUCUCUGCCUCUCUAUCCCUGUGUCUCUCAUGAAUAAAUAAAUAAAAUCUUGAAAAGGGAAGGGGCA
Molecule: long non-coding RNA, 1104 nt
Filed under: Vulpes vulpes (red fox)
Lineage: Eukaryota; Metazoa; Chordata; Mammalia; Carnivora; Canidae
Description: lncRNA (ENSVVUG00000008051.1)
Source: RNAcentral